Long non-coding RNA from Gallus gallus (chicken), 671 nucleotides. RefSeq lists it as uncharacterized. The transcript is spliced from 3 exons. The record is from RefSeq and is a predicted model, not a curated record. NCBI's taxonomy places the organism in Eukaryota, Metazoa, Chordata, Aves, Galliformes, Phasianidae.
UCAUCCUGUCUUCAUUAGGGAGGGAGGUGCUCCAGACCUCUCAUCAUCUGCCUCUACAGCUGGAGGAAGUCUUCCUUUGAUCACGUGGUCUGUAAUAGACCACUAGCACCAGACUCCACAGUGUACUACCUUGCUGAUGGAAACCCAUUUGAUGAAACUUGGGAUUCCUAGCAUCUAAAGGGAGGAAAGAGAUGACCUUUAGCUGAGAGACGUGGUUUAUGGGGAGGAAAAAGGAUAUGAAAGCACAGCAGGAAGCAAGGUUUGCUGAACCUCUUCACGGAUUGGAACUCUGUGCAGCAUGCCAUAGCCACCUUGAAGAGGACUGUCUGAUGCUGGCACACCUCAACCAUCUUGGCAUCUGAAGGGACUUAGGGUUAACUCAUAAUUCUUACUUUCUAAUUAUUCAGUAAAUAGCAUAUGCCUUCCUAUACAUAUUGAGACACGUUUCUUACUGAGAUCCAGAAAGAACAUUACAACUGACUUACAAAUUGUUGGGAAGUUGUUCUGAAAUAUUACCAGUCAUAAACCAUGGUAGUGCUGUGAAGCAAUGGAAAACACAGCAAUGACAGCAGAGAAGCAAAGUCCUAGGGUGCAGCAAGUGAGGAUAUGCUCAAAUAUGGCAACUGUGGACACAGAAACAAAGGAAAGAAUCUGCUUACCCUUGGAAGGCC